AUUGAACGCUGGCGGCAGGCCUAACACAUGCAAGUCGAACGCGUGGCGGACGGGUGAGUAAUGUGUGGGUAACUGCGUGAUGGAGGGGGAAAACUACUGGAAAGGGUCUCUAAUACCGCAUACCAUCGGAUGUGCCCAUAUGGGAUUAGCUAGUAGGUGGGGUAACGGCUCACCUAGGCGACGAUCCCUAGCUGGUCUGAGAGGAUGACCAGCCACACUGGGACUGAGACACGGUCCAGACUCCUACGGGAGGCAGCAGUGGGGAAUAUUGCACAAUGGGCGCAAGCCUGAUGCAGCCAUGCCGCGUGUAUGAAGAAGGCCUUCGGGUUGUAAAGUACUUUCAGCGGGGAGGCGUUACCCGCAGAAGAAGCACCGGCUAACUCCGUGCCAGCAGCCGCGGUAAUUC
RNAcentral lists this ribosomal RNA (406 nucleotides) under uncultured bacterium. Its description in RNAcentral is "partial 16S ribosomal RNA". It matches the Rfam family "Bacterial small subunit ribosomal RNA", at positions 30 to 526 of the family's 1533-position model. The record is from RNAcentral.